This 230-nucleotide unclassified non-coding RNA is filed under the name Hevea brasiliensis (rubber tree). Lineage: Eukaryota; Viridiplantae; Streptophyta; Magnoliopsida; Malpighiales; Euphorbiaceae. The record is from RNAcentral.
GAUGAGGAUGACGAAGCAGCAGCAGCAGCAACAGGGGACUUGCAUUUAGCGCGAGCCAUCGACACAAAAAAAAUGGUGAAAUCUGACAAUGGCUUUUCGAUAAGAGAAGAUUGAAGAGGAAAAGAGAGAUGUGAGGUUUGAUGAGUUUAGGUUUGUUUUGCCAGAAAGAAAAUGGGUUUGUUUUGGAGGUGUAUUGUCAUGAACCAAUGCAGAGGAGAGAGAGGGUGACG